RNAcentral lists this ribosomal RNA (253 nucleotides) under uncultured bacterium. RNAcentral's name for it is "partial 16S ribosomal RNA". It matches the Rfam family "Bacterial small subunit ribosomal RNA", at positions 524 to 776 of the family's 1533-position model. The record is from RNAcentral.
UACGUAGGGUGCAAGCGUUGUCCGGAAUUAUUGGGCGUAAAGAGCUCGUAGGCGGUUUGUCGCGUCUGCUGUGAAAUCCCGAGGCUCAACCUCGGGCCUGCAGUGGGUACGGGCAGACUAGAGUGCGGUAGGGGAGAUUGGAAUUCCUGGUGUAGCGGUGGAAUGUGCAGAUAUCAGGAGGAACACCAAUGGCGAAGGCAGAUCUCUGGGCCGUAACUGACGCUGAGGAGCGAAAGCAUGGGGAGCGAACAGG